GAUGAACGCUGGCGGCGUGCCUAACACAUGCAAGUCGAGCGGCAGCGAGGGGUGCUUGCACCCUGUCGGCGAGCGGCGGACGGCUGAGUAACGCGUGGGAACGUGCCCCAAAGUGAGGAAUAACUGCCCGAAAGGGUAGCUAAUACCGCAUAUUAUCUUCGGAUCAAAGGAUUUAUCCGCUUUGGGAGCGGCUCGCGUCGGAUUAGGUAGUUGGCGAGGUAAUGGCUCACCAAGCCGACGAUCCGUAGCUGGUCUGAGAGGAUGACCAGCCAGACUGGAACUGAGACACGGUCCAGACUCCUACGGGAGGCAGCAGUGAGGAAUCUUCCACAAUGGGCGAAAGCCUGAUGGAGCAACGCCGCGUGCAGGACGAAGGCCUUCGGAUUGUAAACUGCUUUUAUAAGUGAGGAAUAUGACGGUAACUUAUGAAUAAGGAUCGGCUAACUACGUG
This 451-nucleotide ribosomal RNA is filed under the name uncultured bacterium. RNAcentral describes it as "partial 16S ribosomal RNA". It matches the Rfam family "Bacterial small subunit ribosomal RNA", at positions 28 to 507 of the family's 1533-position model. The record is from RNAcentral.